This 416-nucleotide ribosomal RNA is filed under the name uncultured prokaryote. RNAcentral describes it as "bacterial SSU rRNA". It matches the Rfam family "Bacterial small subunit ribosomal RNA", at positions 355 to 776 of the family's 1533-position model. RNAcentral also lists the same sequence under 1 other name. The record is from RNAcentral.
UGGGGAAUAUUGCACAAUGGGCGGAAGCCUGAUGCAGCGACGCCGCGUGGGGGAUGACGGCCUUCGGGUUGUAAACCUCUUUCAGUGCAGAACAAGGCUCUUUGUGGGUUGAGGGUAUGCGCAGAAGAAGCGCCGGCUAACUACGUGCCAGCAGCCGCGGUAAUACGUAGGGCGCGAGCGUUGUCCGGAUUUAUUGGGCGUAAAGAGCUCGUAGGCGGUUUGUCGCGUCUGCUGUGAAAUCCUCUGGCUUAACUGGGGGCGUGCAGUGGGUACGGGCAGACUGGAGUGCGGUAGGGGAGACUGGAAUUCCUGGUGUAGCGGUGGAAUGCGCAGAUAUCAGGAGGAACACCGGUGGCGAAGGCGGGUCUCUGGGCCGCAACUGACGCUGAGGAGCGAAAGCAUGGGGAGCGAACAGG